This 292-nucleotide ribosomal RNA is filed under the name uncultured bacterium. RNAcentral describes it as "partial 16S ribosomal RNA". The record is from RNAcentral.
GGACUACAGGGGUAUCUAAUCCUGUUUGCUCCCCACGCUUUCGUCUCUCAGCGUCAGUAUAGGACCAGGUAGCCGCCUUCGCCACCGGUGUUCCUCCUGAUAUCUACGUAUUUCACCACUACACCAGGAAUUCCACUACCCUCUUCCAUACUCAAGCCAAACAGUAUCAAAUGCACUUCCCGGGUUGAGCCCGGGGAUUUCACACCUGACUUAUUUGGCCGCCUACAGACUCUUUACGCCCAAUGAUUCCGAACAACGCUAGGGACCCUCGUAUUACCGCGGCUGCUGGCAC